UCCCCUCUACCAUCUUUUUUUAUCUUAUCACACCUUCUCUCCCGCUCUACCUACCACCUAACUUCUUCCUCCUCNUUNNCNUGGGCCAUCGCGUCUAACAGCAGGUGAAAGGAAGCACACCAGAGCUUGCUCUGGGNGACGAGUGGCGGACGGGUGAGUAAUGUCUGGGAAACUGCCUGAUGGAGGGGGAUAACUACUGGAAACGGUAGCUAAUACCGCAUAAUGUCGCAAGACCAAAGAGGGGGACCUUCGGGCCUCUUGCCAUCAGAUGUGCCCAGAUGGGAUUAGCUAGUAGGUGGGGCAACGGCUCACCUAGGCGACGAUCCCUAGCUGGUCUGAGAGGAUGACCAGCCCCACUGGAACUGAGACACGGUCCAGACUCCUACGGGAGGCAUCAUUGGGCAAUAUUGCACAAUGAGCGCAAGCCUGAUGCACCCCUGCCCGCGUGUAUUAAUACAGGCCUUCGAGGUUGUAAAGGUCUUUUCACUCGGGAUAGAAAGGAUGUUGUGGGUUAAUAUACCCCGAGCAACUUGACGUUUACCCCCUCAAAAAAAAGCUCCCUGUUAAACUCCCCCUGCCCUAACUUCUCUGCGGAAAUAACUCGAGGGGCGGCUUGCCGAUUAAUUCCAAAAAUUAUUGGGGUCCGAAAAACCACCCCCUCCUCGUUCUCCUCGUUCACACACCAAAUGUGAUAAAACCCCCCGGGGCUUCCACCCUGUGGGAAACCUGUAUUUUCACAUAACAUGGCGGGGCUUGAAAAUUCCUUUUGAUGACGAGGGGGGAAAAAAAUCUUCCGCGGCUCUAUCCCCUGAAAACUGUC
This 820-nucleotide ribosomal RNA is filed under the name Enterobacter cloacae. RNAcentral's name for it is "partial 16S ribosomal RNA". The stretch from base 93 to 436 matches the Rfam family "Bacterial small subunit ribosomal RNA", at positions 46 to 392 of the family's 1533-position model. Lineage: Bacteria; Pseudomonadati; Pseudomonadota; Gammaproteobacteria; Enterobacterales; Enterobacteriaceae. The record is from RNAcentral.